GGGGGUUUAGCUCAGCUGGUAGAGCACCUGCUUUGCAAGCAGGGGGUCACCGGUUCGAGUCCGGUAACCUCCACCA
RNAcentral lists this transfer RNA (76 nucleotides) under Pseudoflavonifractor phocaeensis. RNAcentral's name for it is "tRNA-Ala". It matches the Rfam family "tRNA". Rfam says of the family: Transfer RNA (tRNA) molecules are approximately 80 nucleotides in length. The record is from RNAcentral. RNAcentral also lists the same sequence under 12 other names. Lineage: Bacteria; Bacillati; Bacillota; Clostridia; Eubacteriales; Oscillospiraceae.